GUUCUGCAGAGCUGGGCGCUGGAGACAGCCCCGCACCCCGUGCUUGCUCAGACAAGCCGGCCACUGGAGCCUACGGAGAGCGGGUGACGCAGGCGAUCUGGCCUCAUCCUCCAGCCACACUGGCCCCCUGUCCUUUCCUGAAACACGCCACGCCGGAACGGGAGCUCGCCGGAGGCUUCACGCUGGGCUUGAGAUCCGAACCUCAGAUGAAGAACUGAGCUGAGAUCAAGAGUUGGACGCUCAACCGAGUCACCCAGGCACCCCACGUCAUUUUUAAUAAGGAGAAGGGCCCUUCAGGUUUAGUGCCUCUAAAUGCAACAGGCUCUGCAUCUAUUUACUCAAGACUCCACAAAGCAUAUUUGCUACACGGGUAUUUAUUUAAGGACUUUCUAUAUUCAGUCACCACUGAAAUCACUGC
Molecule: long non-coding RNA, 418 nt
Organism: Canis lupus familiaris (dog)
Lineage: Eukaryota; Metazoa; Chordata; Mammalia; Carnivora; Canidae
Exons: 3
Source: RefSeq, a predicted model, not a curated record